RNAcentral lists this long non-coding RNA (459 nucleotides) under Rattus norvegicus (Norway rat). RNAcentral describes it as "long non-coding RNA NONRATT021379". The record is from RNAcentral. Lineage: Eukaryota; Metazoa; Chordata; Mammalia; Rodentia; Muridae.
UUCAGCAGAUAGGCUGGAAAACAAAAUAGAAAGAAUCCUCCCAGAGGCGCAACAACAAACAAUAGGAAAGAAGGAAAGGGGAACAGACAACCACUGUUUAACUGUUGGGAGUUUCCAGAAGACGGGACAGAGAGAAUGUGGACAAUAAAACAAUAAGAAACAGUUGACGAGCACCAGUUUGAGGGGACCAGUACUGACCACAUCUAGGCACAGUCCUAAAUAAAAUUGGAACAAUAGGGUUAGAAGGAACAUGUUGGAAGUGCCCAGGGAAGGAAAACCAACUGAAGUAAAUCUUAGAAUAGUCUGGCAACUUCAGUAGCAGUGCUGAAUGCUAGAAGUCAAGGAACCAAUGAUUGACUUUUGAAAACUUUUGUUCCCAGAACUCCAUAUAGUACAGAAUGUCAAGAGUAAUGCAAAAAGAAAAACGUUUUUGGGCAAGUGAGUCUUUAGAAACUCUCC